Molecule: long non-coding RNA, 1585 nt
Filed under: Olea europaea subsp. europaea
Lineage: Eukaryota; Viridiplantae; Streptophyta; Magnoliopsida; Lamiales; Oleaceae
Source: RNAcentral
AUUUAAUUUAUAAAUAGAUAGAAAUGGGUGGGGGAUAAUACUUGUGGGCCUAUUGGAACGUGUGAUUGAAAAUGAAAUUUGACCAUUUAUAAAUGAUUUAUAAAUUUUGCCAAAUGGAGGCUAAGACUACCAAGUUUUUGUUGAGGCUUAUACCUUAGAUUGCCUCAAGGGUUGCAUGAUGGAAGCAAAAAUCCUCGAUACUUGAUUUGGCCUUUUUAAACAUUAGGCCCUUGUUUAAUGGCGAAUAAAAUCAGAUUUUUAGUAGAUUUUGAUAAAAGUUAAUGAAAAAUGUGUUUGGAAAGUUAUGAGUCCAAUUAAAUAUGUGGUUAAAAUUAAUUGUUGACUUUAAUAUGGAUUUUGAUAAAUAUUUAGAUUUUAAUUUCUACCAAACAGGGGCUAGAUUUGACAUCGGGAAGAGGAUGCGGUGGAGUAGAACAUUCCCAAUUUGAUUUCAUUAUGGUGUCUGGUAUGUUGAAAUUGAAAGAAUGGCAGCAGAAUAAAAGUCAUGACAUGACAAAGUAUACUCAUGAGGUUUAAUUGAGCUAUAUACUCAUCAAUCUUAAAUUUAAAAGUUAAAAUCAGUAUAGUAGCACUUCAUUAAAAUACACUUUUAAGCGUAACUGAGUCUAGUGGGUGCUAAUGUAUUUGCAUGCAUUUCUAUGAGUUGACCGUGACAUUUAUAAUGGUUAACAAAUGGAAUGUGUCUUGCAUGCUAAUUUUUAAUAUUGUUGCUAAUAACAUCAUAACUCGAACUUUUUUUGUUGUGGUUCACAUGUCUAGGGAUGUUCGUGGUGGGAAGGGUGAGAAUAUGGUUAGGAUGGGGUAGCAGCCCAAAUACUUCCUUAUGAAUAAUAACACUUUCUGCUUGUGCCAACAGAUACUUACACUUCUAGUUUGUUGACCACUAUAAAACUCGUAUUGUAAUUAUGUUGAUAUAGGCUCAUGGAAAGAUGAUAUUAUUCAAACCUGGAAGGAAGAUGACUUGUAUUCUUAUUUGGUUGGUGGAGGGGAACUCAUUGUUGCACGUUGCAUCUAUUUUCUGGAAAAAUAUUCUUUGGUGCACUGAUUUAUUUGCGGGGGUGAUGUCUAUGAGAUGCAGCAUGUUGGUGUCCAUUGCAGAAACGGAUGGCUAAUGAUUUCAGGAAUUGGAAAUAAUAAAAAGGGUUGAAAAGAAAAAUCAAUAAUGACAAUAGAUUAAUGUCUGAAGGUUAUACGCUUAAGCGGUUACUCUCUUGUUUUGAACAGUUGCAGAGGUGACCAUCAGCUCUGGGAUCUGUUCUUCUGUUUCAUACACAAGGGAUUCGAACCCCAACACCAUGGUUUGUAUCCUGGCAAUGAAAUUUGAAAUGGAACUAAUAUCUUUGUACUUGCUCAAGUUCUUCCUAAAUCCCGACCCCCAUGUGACUACAGGAGGGAAGGCUCCGAACCUGUCGUCGGGUGUCAACAAAUGACCAGUUAUGAUGUUGUCCAAAGCUCUUGUUACUUUGUAGACGUCAUUAUGUAUGAUAUGUACUUAGAGAAUUUUAUUUUAGUUUUUUGGAUCAGAUUUGUUUGUGAUAUGUUCAACUGUACUCAAUGGUUGUUA